UACGGAGGUGGCAAGCGUUACUCGGUUUGACUGGGUGUAAAGGGUCCGCAGGCGGCCUAGUGUGUGAAUGGUGAAAUCCUUCGGCUUAACCGAAGAACGGCCAUUCAAACUGCUAGGCUUGAGGGUUGGAGAGGGAAGGGGAACUGUUGGUGUAAAGGUGAAAUUUGUGGAGAUCAACAGGAACGUCCGUGGGGAAGCCGCCUUCCUGGUCAACUCCUGACGCUCAGGGACGAAAGCUAGGGGAG
This 245-nucleotide ribosomal RNA is filed under the name uncultured bacterium. Its description in RNAcentral is "partial 16S ribosomal RNA". It matches the Rfam family "Bacterial small subunit ribosomal RNA", at positions 524 to 768 of the family's 1533-position model. The record is from RNAcentral.